UAGGGAAUCUUCCGCAAUGGACGAAAGUCUGACGGAGCAACGCCGCGUGAGUGAAGAAGGCUUUCGGUUCGUAAAACUCUGUUGUUAGGGAAGAAAAAAUGUAUAGUAACUAUAUACAAAAGAGACGGUACCUAACCAGAAAGCCACGGCUAACUACGUGCCAGCAGCCGCGGUAAUACGUAGGUGGCAAGCGUUGUCCGGAAUUAUUGGGCGUAAAGCGCGCGCAGGUGGUUUAGAAAGUCUGAUGUGAAAGCCCACGGCUCAACCGUGGAGGGUCAUUGGAAACUAAUAAACUUGAGUGCAGGAGGGAAAAGUGGAAUUCCUAGUGUAGCGGUGAAAUGCGUAGAGAUUAGGAGGAACACCGGUGGCGAAAGCGGCUUUUUGGCCUGCAACUGACACUGAGGCGCGAAAGCGUGGGGAGCAAACAGG
This 429-nucleotide ribosomal RNA is filed under the name Verrucomicrobiota bacterium. Its description in RNAcentral is "Verrucomicrobia bacterium partial 16S ribosomal RNA". It matches the Rfam family "Bacterial small subunit ribosomal RNA", at positions 355 to 776 of the family's 1533-position model. The record is from RNAcentral. Lineage: Bacteria; Pseudomonadati; Verrucomicrobiota.